This 463-nucleotide ribosomal RNA is filed under the name uncultured bacterium. Its description in RNAcentral is "partial 16S ribosomal RNA". It matches the Rfam family "Bacterial small subunit ribosomal RNA", at positions 28 to 507 of the family's 1533-position model. The record is from RNAcentral.
GAUGAACGCUGACAGAAUGCUUAACGCAUGCAAGUCUUUGGCGAAGCUGUGCUUGCACAGCCUAGCCAAGGCGGACGGGUGAGUAACGCGUAAGGAACUUGCCCUGCAGUCAGGGAUAACAGACGGAAACGACUGAUAAGACCUGGUAAAGUCAGGCGGACUCAUGUCCAGCCUGAUGAAAAGAGAUGCUGCAGGAGAGCCUUGCGUCCUAUUAGCUUGUUGGUGGGGUAACGGCCCACCAAGGCGAUGAUAGGUAGCCGGCCUGAGAGGGUGGACGGCCACAAGGGGACUGAGAUACGGCCCUUACUCCUACGGGAGGCAGCAGUGGGGAAUAUUGGACAAUGGGGGCAACCCUGAUCAAGCAAUUCUGUGUGCACGAUGAAGGUUUUCGGAUUGUAAAGUGCUUUCAGCAGGGAAGAAAAAAAUGACGGUACCUGCAGAAGAAGCGACGGCUAAAUACGUG